CCCCCAACUCAUAAUCACCUCUACAUCGGGGAAGCAGCAGUAAUGAACAAUAAAGGAAAAUGCCACGUAAUGGCAAAAAACACUAGUGAUAAAGUCGUCGAAAUCGAAAUAGAACCAGAUGAAAUAGAGCCUUACGACAUCGUAUCCACAUCAAAUGAUGAUUUUUAUCCAGACGUAGAACAUCCAUUAAAAUUCAGGACACAGGAACAAAGAAUUCAAGAAAUUUUAAAUACGAGAUAAGCUCGGAAAAGCCGCUCGUUUUAAACAUUCAAUUCACACGAUAGACGAAAUUCCAGUCAACACCAGGCAAUAUCGUUACCCACCAAUACAUCAAGAAGAAAAUCAAAAACAAAAACCUGAUUCACAGGGAAAGAAACAAUAUCGGUGCAAUUCUCGAAUCCACCCCACUCAUAGGGCUCACACGCGCGUCGCUAUCGCCCUGGCUCGUAACAUGAGGAUCAACGACAUCGAAGGAGAAAUUCUGGAUACGGUCAUCCGAGGAUAUUUAAUUCCGGACCAUCUUUCGAAGUCGGGCAUCUGGAGCUAACGGGAGUUCGAGGAAAAGCAGUCAAUAGCAGUCCGAGGACCAAUUGACAGCGAGAGCAAAGCAUCUACCAGCAAGCAGCCGAGUGCAGUCCGAGGACCACCGGGACGCGGAACAACGACAUCCACAGCAUGCAGGUAACUCUACUGCUGUAAGUCCUAACUCGCAUGUAUCAUAACAAAUUGUAAACCAGAAUCUUGUAUGUCGGAACAAGGUAACGAUAUAGAUCGUUUUCGAUUACCAUAUACUAGAGUCAUUUCGAGAUCGUCUGAAUCAAUAUUUGACAACUAUUUAAAUUAUAGCCGUCACGUAGCUACGACUUCACCUUUUUCCGACUCAGCGAUAACAUUUCGUAGACGCAUACGCGCACCAUCCAUACACUUUGAUUUCGAUUCAUUAAGCGGCAGUUGAAACUUUGAACACGUAAUUAGGGAAAGAGGAUUCCUUAUAGAAGAACACGAUUUUAGUUUAUUGCAAACAGAAAAUAUGGUAUCUAACGUACUAAACAGCCAUGCACUAGUAAAAGAAUUGAGGGAAACGUCUCCCACAAAAGUGUUAGCGUUCAUCGGUUCGUGUAUGCUAACAUCAGAGU
Molecule: long non-coding RNA, 1136 nt
Organism: Hylaeus volcanicus
Lineage: Eukaryota; Metazoa; Arthropoda; Insecta; Hymenoptera; Colletidae
Exons: 3
Source: RefSeq, a predicted model, not a curated record